RNAcentral lists this ribosomal RNA (368 nucleotides) under Oreophrynella sp. AVDM-2010. RNAcentral's name for it is "partial 12S ribosomal RNA". It matches the Rfam family "Bacterial small subunit ribosomal RNA", at positions 869 to 1405 of the family's 1533-position model. Lineage: Eukaryota; Metazoa; Chordata; Amphibia; Anura; Bufonidae. The record is from RNAcentral.
UCGCCAGGGAACUACGAGCCAAGCUUAAAACCCAAAGGACUUGACGGUUCACCACAUCCCCCUAGAGGAGCCUGUCCUACAAUCGAUAUUCCCCGAUAUACCUCACCUAUAUUUGUUUAUCAGCCUGUAUACCUCCGUCGUCAGCUUACCACGUGAGCGCCAAUAAGUGAGCUUGAUGUUCUUAUAACAACACGUCAGGUCAAGGUGCAGCAUAUAUUUAGGAAAGAGAUGGGCUACACUUUCUAUUAUAGAAAAUACGAAAAACUAUUUAUGAAAUCUAGUUAGAAGGCGGAUUUAGCAGUAAAGAGAAAUUAGUAUAUUCUCUUAAACCUGGCACUGGAGUGCGCACACACCGCCCGUCACCCUCU